GCCUACGGGGGGCAGCAGUGGGGAAUAUUGCACAAUGGGGGAAACCCUGAUGCAGCAACGCCGCGUGAGUGAAGAAGUCAUUCGUGAUGUAAAGCUCUAUCAGCAGGGAAGAAAAUGACGGUACCUGGGUAAGAAGCCCCGGCUAACUACGUGCCAGCAGCCGCGGUAAUACGUAGGGGGCAAGCGUUAUCCGGAUUUACUGGGUGUAAAGGGAGCGUAGACGGCCAGACAAGUCUGAAGUGA
RNAcentral lists this ribosomal RNA (243 nucleotides) under uncultured bacterium. RNAcentral describes it as "partial 16S ribosomal RNA". It matches the Rfam family "Bacterial small subunit ribosomal RNA", at positions 337 to 597 of the family's 1533-position model. The record is from RNAcentral.